This 763-nucleotide ribosomal RNA is filed under the name uncultured archaeon. Its description in RNAcentral is "bacterial SSU rRNA". It matches the Rfam family "Archaeal small subunit ribosomal RNA", at positions 325 to 1088 of the family's 1478-position model. The record is from RNAcentral.
ACGGGGUGCAGCAGGCGCGAAAACUUUACAAUGCUGGAAGCAGCGAUAAGGGGACCUCGAGUGCCAGGUUACAAAUCUGGCUGUCGUGAUGCCUAAAAAGCAUUGCAUAGCAAGGGCCGGGCAAGACCGGUGCCAGCCGCCGCGGUAACACCGGCGGCUCGAGUGGUAACCGUUAUUAUUGGGUCUAAAGGGUCUGUAGCCGGCCGGGUAAGUCUCUUGGGAAAUCUGGCAGCUUAACUGUCAGGCUUUCAGGAGAUACUGUCUGGCUCGAGGCCGGGAGAGGUGAGAGGUACUUCAGGGGUAGGGGUGAAAUCUUGUAAUCCUUGAAGGACCACCAGUGGCGAAGGCGUCUCACCAGAACGGACCUGACGGCAAGGGACGAAAGCUAGGGGCACGAACCGGAUUAGAUACCCGGGUAGUCCUAGCCGUAAACGAUACUCGCUAGGUGUCGGCAACGGUGCGACCGUUGUCGGUGCCGUAGGGAUGCCGUGAAGCGAGCCACCUGGGAAGUACGGCCGCAAGGCUGAAACUUAAAGGAAUUGGCGGGGGAGCACCACAACGGGUGGAGCUUGCGGUUUAAUUGGAUCCAACGCCGGAAAUCUUACCGGGACCGACAGCAAUAUGAAGGCCAGGCUGAAGACUUUGCCGGAUUAGCUGAGAGGUGGUGCAUGGCCGUCGUCAGUUCGUACUGUGAAGCAUCCUGUUAAGUCAGGCAACGAGCGAGACCCACGCCCACAGUUGCCAGCGUACUCUCCGGAGUGAC